CCAAGAUUUCUUCCUAAAUCACAUAUUUUUGUGUGUUUCACGUUAUCAAACUAAAAAAGUGAUAUUUUGAUAAAUCUAUUUUUUCCAAAUAUGCCAAAAUCACCACUGUGGCUCGCCGCUAAACUUUCUGUCGUCGCAUUAUCAGCUUCAACCCCACUGUAGCAGUUCUGCUCGUGUUGAAAACCGAAGCUCCAUUUUCUUCUGAGCAACGGUGAUUCUUUUCUUGUAGCUGGUACAGAUGUUGUAGGGACUAAGCUUAAGUUGGCCUUUGAGACUGGAAUCCAUCGCACCAUUGGAAUCGACUUGGUUGCUAUGAGUGUGAACGAUAUUGUUACCUCUGGUGCUAAGCCUCUCUUCUUCCUAGAUUACUUUGCUACUAGUCGUCUCCAUGUAGACCUUGCAGAGAAGGUUAUUAAAGGGGGCAAUCAGACUGUGCUCUCUUAGGAGGAGAAAUAUGUUUUUGCUUAUGGCAAUGUAGCUUAUGCAUGCUUCAUGCUUGGUCUUGGUUUGAUUGGUUUUUGUUUGGCUGUUUAAGACUGCGGAGAUGCCAGACUUUUACGCAGAGGGAGAGUAUGAUCUCAGUGGGUUUGCAGUUGGGACAGUGAAGAAAGAUUCUGUUAUAAAUGGGAAGAACAUAGUUGAUAUAUUGGUUGGCAUUUUGGUGGAGGAAAAUAGUAGUCAAGUGGUUUCUAUAACCGGGAUGGGCGGUCUUGGUAAAACCACUCUUGCAAGACAAGUUUUAUAAUCGUGAGAUAAUAAAAAGAAAAUUUUCAAGACUCGCGUGGAAGAAUGUCUGGAAGUCGAUCUUGCGACAACUCAGGCCAGAAUACAAGGUGACAGAAGAGGAACUUCAAGAAAAGGUCGUUGGAGUGUUGGAAACACAAAAAUAUUUGGUCGGUCAUUGAUAAUCUAUGGAGAGAAGGAGAUUGGACCGAAUCAAGAAUGUUUUUUUGCCCAAAUAAAGGAUAGAAGGUACUACUUGCUUCUCGCAAUGAGCAAGUGGCAUUACAUGCAGAUCCAAAAUGUGUUAUUUUCAAACCAGAUUGCCUAACUUUUGAAGAAAGUUGGAAUCUUUUCCAAAGGAUAUCAUUUCCUUUCAAAGACACAAUCGUAUAAGGUUGAUGAUGAGAUGGAAGAGAUGUGUAAGCAGAUGAUCAAACAUUGUGGAGGUUAUACCGUUAGCUUUAAAAGUGUUAGGAGGGUUGUUAGCUCAACAAUACACACUGCAUGAUUGGAAAAGGGUUUAUGAGAAUAGUGGAUCUCACAUAGUCGGAGUGGAUCUCACAUAGUCGGAGGGACUAGCUUCAACGACAGAAAUAUCAGUUUGGUUUAUAAUGUUUUAUAUCUAAGCUUCGAAGAGCUGCCUAUUUAUUUGAAGCAAUGUUUCUUCUACCUUGCUAUCAAAACGAUGUUGGGUAAACUGUACUCCUAUUACUGGGCUGCAGAAAGAAUACCAAGGCCGAUUUAUUACCGAUAGAGCGAGCAUCCGAGAUGUUGCAGAUGGAUAAAUUAUACCACAAUGCGAUGGAUAUUCACAGUACGACAAGGCUAGAGACACUCUCAACGGCAUUAAAUGUACUACUGAAACUACAUCUUCAUCUCUAGGCAAAUUGAUACACUUGG
Brassica oleracea var. oleracea is the source of this 1623-nucleotide long non-coding RNA. RefSeq lists it as uncharacterized. NCBI's taxonomy places the organism in Eukaryota, Viridiplantae, Streptophyta, Magnoliopsida, Brassicales, Brassicaceae. The transcript is spliced from 6 exons. The record is from RefSeq and is a predicted model, not a curated record.